Molecule: unclassified non-coding RNA, 335 nt
Filed under: Hevea brasiliensis (rubber tree)
Lineage: Eukaryota; Viridiplantae; Streptophyta; Magnoliopsida; Malpighiales; Euphorbiaceae
Source: RNAcentral
AAACAUGUAGGAUCGAGUUAUUUAAGGAAAAUCUGCUAAUAUAAAUCACUUGCAAAUGUGUCUAAUCAAGCCUGAAGGGAAAUGAAGUAACUAGCCAAUCCAUCAGCAAUUGAACACCAAGCAGAUGCUCUACUGGUCUCAUCUCUGUUCUUUACUCAGCAUCACAAUAGCCGAGCUCUGAGAGCUUCAAAUGAGCUUCUGCAUAAUCUUCAAAGAAGGCAUCCUCAUCUGCAGCAUAUUUUUCAACUAGAGCACGAAAGACUGGAUCUUGUAAAAGAGCCUUAUCUGAUGGCAGCUGGAUAAGACCUCCUUUCUCUCCACUUAAAAGUUCCCUG